AGUAUAUAUUUCCGGUCAAGAAACUAAGGGCGCAAGGCGGAUGCCUUGGCACCAGGAGGCGAUGAAGGACGUGACAAGCAACGAAAACCUCGAAUAGGAGCAAAUAUCCAGUGACUCGGGGGAAUCCGAAUGGGGAAACCUACUAGACAUACUCUAGUAUCCAUACGUAAAUACAUAGCGUAUGGAAGCGAAUGUUCUGAACUGAAACAUCUAAGUAGGAACAAGAAAAGAAAGAAAACUCGAUUCUCCAAGUAGCGGCGAGCGAACAGAGAACAGCCCAUUAAAGUAAGACUAAACUGAUAGACAAAUCUUAU
Molecule: ribosomal RNA, 314 nt
Filed under: Finegoldia magna
Lineage: Bacteria; Bacillati; Bacillota; Tissierellia; Tissierellales; Peptoniphilaceae
Description: bacterial LSU rRNA
Rfam family: Bacterial large subunit ribosomal RNA
Source: RNAcentral